Molecule: ribosomal RNA, 723 nt
Filed under: uncultured bacterium
Lineage: Bacteria
Description: bacterial SSU rRNA
Rfam family: Bacterial small subunit ribosomal RNA
Source: RNAcentral
GCCUAACACAUGCAAGUCGAGCGGAAACGAGUUAUCUGAACCUUCGGGGAACGAUAACGGCGUCGAGCGGCGGACGGGUGAGUAAUGCCUAGGAAAUUGCCCUGGUGUGGGGGAUAACCAUUGGAAACGAUGGCUAAUACCGCAUAAUACCUACGGGUCAAAGAGGGGGACCUCCGGGCCUCUCGCGUCAGGAUAUGCCUAGGUGGGAUUAGCUAGUUGGUGAGGUAAUGGCUCACCAAGGCGACGAUCCCUAGCUGGUCUGAGAGGAUGAUCAGCCACACUGGAACUGAGACACGGUCCAGACUCCUACGGGAGGCAGCAGUGGGGAAUAUUGCACAAUGGGCGCAAGCCUGAUGCAGCCAUGCCGCGUGUGUGAAGAAGGCCUUCGGGUUGUAAAGCACUUUCAGUCGUGAGGAAGGUAGUGUAGUUAAUAGCUGCAUUAUUUGACGUUAGCGACAGAAGAAGCACCGGUUAACUCCGUGCCAGCAGCCGCGGUAAUACGGAGGGUGCGAGCGUUAAUCGGAAUUACUGGGCGUAAAGCGCAUGCAGGUGGUUUGUUAAGUCAGAUGUGAAAGCCCGGGGCUCAACCUCGGAAUAGCAUUUGAAACUGGCAGACUAGAGUACUGUAGAGGGGGGUAGAAUUUCAGGUGUAGCGGUGAAAUGCGUAGAGAUCUGAAGGAAUACUGGUGGCGAAGGCGGCCCCCUGGACAGAUACUGACACUC